UGGGCGGGACGGGGUGAGUAAUGUCUGGGAAACUGCCCGAUGGAGGGGGAUAACUACUGGAAACGGUAGCUAAUACCGCAUAACGUCGCAAGACCAAAGAGGGGGACCUUCGGGCCUCUUGCCAUCGGAUGUGCCCAGAUGGGAUUAGCUAGUAGGUGGGGUAACGGCUCACCUAGGCGACGAUCCCUAGCUGGUCUGAGAGGAUGACCAGCCACACUGGAACUGAGACACGGUCCAG
This 238-nucleotide ribosomal RNA is filed under the name uncultured bacterium. Its description in RNAcentral is "partial 16S ribosomal RNA". It matches the Rfam family "Bacterial small subunit ribosomal RNA", at positions 104 to 334 of the family's 1533-position model. The record is from RNAcentral.